Orbicella faveolata is the source of this 1885-nucleotide unclassified non-coding RNA. Lineage: Eukaryota; Metazoa; Cnidaria; Anthozoa; Scleractinia; Merulinidae. The record is from RefSeq and is a predicted model, not a curated record.
GGAAGAAGUUGUACCUCAGAAGCUAACAAAAUCUGCCAAGCAAAUGGAAACAAAAACAAGCAAGAAGGUUGUGCAUGUUAAGGAGAGGUCAAUUUGUUUCAUGGCAAGGGAUGGUCCCAGAGCUCUUGGCUCAAAACCACUCCUUGAGGGCAAAGAAAACUGCUUAGAGGAACUGACAUUUGUUAUCACUGAAGUGCUGGAAAGUAUUGAGAGAAAUGACGCUGCGGCUUUGAUUCAGAGGUACGGUGGCAAGGUAACUCAGGCGGUGAGCAAGAAAACAAGUUACAUUUAUAUUGUGGUGGGACAGGACCCAGGGUGCUAUGAUGAGCAUUGAAUUCAAGGAAGGGCUCAAGAUUCCACCUCAGGCCAUGGACCAGAUUAUAAUUGGUGCAAACCAAGAUGUUCUUUAUAGUUUGACCAUGUGGACAGCCAAGGAGAAGAGUCUUAGUUAUGAUCAAUCCAAUGAGGAUGCAGCCAGGGCACAAAAAGACAUCAAAAUGGUUCCUUUUGAUGCGAGAGUUCAAAGAUGGACUUGAAUUAAAAAUCAAGGAUGGUCUUUUGCGACUACUCAUUGAUGCCUCUGUACAAGAAAACUGCCUUUCGGCGGAUCCAGGGCAUUCCCAGUAAGAUGACAACUAAGCUGUUCUAAUUGUUUUUGUGCUAUUAUUAAUAAUUGUUCAUUCUUUCCGAACUGUCAUCAGCUAUCACAAACUAUCACUCUUGUGGUCAAACAGGAAAACUAUUAUCGCCUACAUGUGUCAUGGAUAAUUUAAACAAGCUUAAAGUGAAUGAUGGUUGAUGAUAGCCAAUGAUAGCCCAUGAUAGUCUGUGUUUAAAGUGUGCAUAGCGACUAUCGAGGACUAUCAUGCACUGUUUGACAAGAGCCUUUAGCAGGCCUGGUUAAUAAGAGAUUUAUAGCUGUACUUGUACAUAUACAUGUAUGAUUUUUAAGGAUUGGUUGAAAAAUAGUACAUUUUAGAGGACCUUUUCAAUUCCUUAUGCAUCUUGUUUACUAAUUAGGGACAAGGUAAAGAGGACCCUGGCACUUGUUAGUCAGACAGCUGACUAAAUCUGUGAUGGUGAUCUUAUCAGACAGAAAGGGCACUGGUCCGUGUUACCUAUACAGGCACUAAAAUAAUAGAGAGAUGAAGGUCAAUUCAUUGUCAAAUUCAUUGUUAAUUCAAUCUUUAUCCAGUAUUUAUCAAAUGUUCAAUUUUUAGGCAAUGAUGUUAUAUGUGAUCCCAUUCGAUCUGAUGACUGGGGAAAUGGGUCAGAGGAUUGAAUUUCCUCAGUGGCUUGGUAAAAAUUCCGAAUAUUGUAGACUUGACCGCAGUUUACAAGAGCUUUAGAGUCACAUGAGAUUAAGGAAUCACACGAGAUCAGUUCUGGGAUGUUCAGAGCUAUGAAAUUGAUUGAGGAGUAUGACUUGACAAAAAGAGGACUGGGAUUCUAUCAUAGAGCUUGGCCAGUUUGAAGGACAGAGGGAUCCUGUCAUUUCUAUCCCAUUGAAGGUUUGUACAUGUAGUCCCUUGAUUCUUGUUCUGGAAUGACAUGUUUGUUGAUAGUAAAUUUGAGCUCGUCAAAAGACAGCUGCAGGCUAAUGCUCAGCCUUUUAAACUCUGGGUGAACAGUCCGGGUUAAGGCCUUAGGCAGGGUCAUUGUGUUGUGUUCUUGGGCAAGCCAGUUGUUCUCACGGUGCCUCUUGCCAAUAACAAAUGACCCUCACUCGCUCAUCUUCUUUGUCCCAGCUUGGAGGUACAUGUAAGGGCAUAAAAAGCCAACAAAUUAAUACGGGUGAUAACCACCCUAACUGCCUACAAAUCAGUAAGAGAAAUUUUUGACACCAAAACAUAAAUAAUGGGUAAUCUACAGGUGUUUCCGCCAA